UUUUGUGAUUAUAUGCUCCAGAGUUAGAAAUCAUAGAACAUGACGAAGAUUUCCUUCUUUCUUGUUUCAUUUGUUAGUUAAUUUAGUGAUUAUAUGCUUCCGGUCUUCUUUCUUUUUGUAUCUUUCAUUAGUGAAGGUCAUUGGUAUGGCGGAUUGGGUUGGCAGGAAUUUUGAAUCAACUUGAUUGCGAACGUGAAUAGAAAAUGGUGACUGCAAUAGUGGAUUCAGAUCCAACAUCUUGAACAAGCACUUGUCAUUGCACAAAAGGAAAGUAACGAGGUCAAAAGGCAACUUAGCAGGUGCUCCUUUCUAACGGUGCUAGAAACAGCUUGGUCAACGAUUAAACAAAAGCAUCACCAGCUGCAAGGCUUUGUGAUGAUCCAAAUGCAAAAAUGGAAGUACACUGCUGCUUUUGCUAACAAAGAAGUGGUCUUUUUUGUGAUACACAUCACAAAGUUAUUGCGGUAUUACCUCGUUUAUGCUACUUAAUGAGCUCCUUGACCCUCACAAAGGUUAUCUUAUGCAUGAUACAUGUAUAUUUAAAGAUAAUGGUAUAGUAAAGGAAACCCGUUAUGUUGGUCCUCAAAAUCAAGGCAUUAUGAUUAUGAAUUCUCUCCUACAAACUUUGUACUAUAUACCUUACUUUAAAAAGGUUAUGUAUCAGGUUGAUGCUCGGUAGAAUAAUAAUGAAGAACAAACCGUAUAGUAACAGAACUGGUGUAUAUACGGCUGCAUCUCGGUUGUUGAUUGCAACACCACUGCCUACUUACGUGCUACUCUGUUGAGGCAUUGGCUGGCAUACGGUGAAGAGAGGGAUACCUAAUGUGUGUUACAUAUGUAGAACAUUUAGAUGUACUUGAAUAUCAUUAUGUGAAGUCUAGUGCCAAGUACAAGCACCGAAGCACCACGAACAUAUCAAGUUAGCAGUAACAUCACUGAUCAGACGCCUAAUCUCGAACAAGAAGUGAAGGAUUGUACGCUUUAUAUGGAAUCUGACUGGACGGGAAUCAAGCAACUAUUAAAGAGACGAACGUUUGAUUUCAAUCGAGCAGCCAAGGCAGUUGAAGAAUGAAACCCACCCUUUCGUC
Molecule: long non-coding RNA, 1088 nt
Filed under: Helianthus annuus (common sunflower)
Lineage: Eukaryota; Viridiplantae; Streptophyta; Magnoliopsida; Asterales; Asteraceae
Description: sRNA HanXRQr2_Chr14g0627981
Source: RNAcentral